GAUGAAGAACGUAGCGAAAUGCGAUAAGUAAUGUGAAUUGCAGAAUUCAGUGAAUCAUCGAAUCUUUGAACGCACCUUGCGCUCCUUGGUAUUCCGAGGAGCAUGCCUGUUUGAGUGUCAUGAAAUUCUCAACCUUUUCAGCUUUCUUUGUUGAUCAGGCUUGGAUGUGGGAGUAUGCGGGCUUCUCAGAAGUCGGCUCUCCUGAAAUGCAUUAGCGGGACCUUUGUUGCCUGGCUUUGGUGUGAUAAUUAUCUACGCCAUUGUAGUCAAGGAGCUUAAAAUGAGGUUUCAGCUUCUAACCGUCUCCCCUGAGACAACUUUUUGACAAUUUGACCUCAAAUCAGGUACGACUACCCGCUGAACUUAAGCAUAUCAAUAAGCGGAGGA
This 387-nucleotide unclassified non-coding RNA is filed under the name soil metagenome. RNAcentral's name for it is "partial contains 5.8S ribosomal RNA, internal transcribed spacer 2, and large subunit ribosomal RNA". The stretch from base 1 to 120 matches the Rfam family "5.8S ribosomal RNA", at positions 35 to 154 of the family's 154-position model. The record is from RNAcentral.